Molecule: RNA transcript, 3710 nt
Organism: Osmia bicornis bicornis
Lineage: Eukaryota; Metazoa; Arthropoda; Insecta; Hymenoptera; Megachilidae
Exons: 5
Source: RefSeq, a predicted model, not a curated record
AUUUUUAUAUUUAAUUACGAUAUAAUGUAAAGAUGGUAAUUUCGCGGUGUUAAUACUGGUAGAAGAAUAAUUUCUUGAUUACUCAUUAUCCAAAGAGUCAAUAACUCUUGUCGGUUAAAUUACUUUUUUAUUUUUACACCUUCUGUGUAUUUAAUCUAUAUUUCAGAUUUUUUUUAAAUUUUAAUAUGCAGGGUAGAAAUGAAAAAAGUUGAAGAUAUAAAUAAGUUCCUUUUUGAAAGAUGUAAUAUGAAAUCGCAUUUUUUAUUUUUCAAGUGAAAGAAAAGUGACUCGUUUCUUUUACUGUAUCGAGGAUAGAAAUUCUUUUAUCACAGAAGUGUUUUCAGCUUUCCGUGUUAUUAAUAUUUUAAAAUAAUAAUGACCUUUCAGUCUAUUCAGUAAAUUGAUCUCAUUAAUAUAUAACUUCAUUAUGGGGCUAUCUUUGAUUAGCAGAUAAUAGACGGACAAUUAUCAUUUCCUUUUUGUGCCUCGCAGGACAUAAAAUUUAAUCAUCCUCGAUAUUCGUGCCACGGAAUUUCAAUUAACCACGGUGUACUCUUGCAUUAGCUCGUUAAUUGAAUAUGCGAGGAAAAUUCACAGCAUUGAUUGUUCCAUAAUUCUUGAAACUUGAUUUCAAUCAACAGUUGUGCGAAUGAUAGAAACAAUAUCACUUAAUUAUUCUCUAUUUUUAAAUACUAAUUUUUAUUUUAAGCAAUAUUUUAGCUUUAAAAUCAAUUCUAUAUUUAUACUAUGGUAUUUUACAAAUUGUUUUAUUAAUCAUUAAGAUAAAAUUAAUCGGUCAUUCACACUUUAAUACCUCUAAUUAACGUUUAAUGUUAUUCUAACAAGAAUAGCUGUUCCUAGCUAGCUUUUCGAUCGCUUUCAAUGACAUUAGUCUAUAAUUUACGCGGCAUUGUUUCUUGAUACUCUAUUUUCGCCGUUUCUUUAUGUGUAUUCACAAUUCUGCGUAUUGAAAUUCGUACAUUAAAUUACUUUCGGACACAAUUGUUUCGGAACAGGUAUUGUUUCUUCAUUUUCUGUCAGAUGAUUGGGCAUGAAAAAGUUAUUUCAAGGAAUGUAGAAAUUUGAAGACAAGUACAGAAUGAAAUCGAACUUAUUGAUCGAUCUUCCGAUAUUUCUAAAUGUAUAUUCUCUAUUCGUUGUAACAUUUUUAUUAUAUACUAAUAUUUUCUUCAACACUUUCCAGAAUAUCAUCUACCCUCAAAGAAAGAAGACAACGUAAAGAACCACAUGGAACAAUGGAUACAAAUAUUAAUGAAUCUUUCUACGAUUGAAACGAUUUCACAGAUAUCUUUCAAAAGAAUUAAUACAUUUUACAGCAAUUGAAGGAUCAGGUUUUUAUACAAUAUAGACUAAAGUACCACUUGUAAGAAUACUCGAACUGUUAUACAUUUUCAUGCAUUAAUUAAUCAAGCAAUCAAUGAAAAUUUACAGACGAUCGAGGAAAAACAGAAAUAAAGAAAAAAGGGGACACGAGUGUACCUGUAACAGGUGAACCUAAGUAUGCUGACAAGUAUUUGGCGGUCGAUCAGCGAACUGCGAAGGGAAGAAAACCUUUUCCACGGCGAACUUCAAUAAAUCAAGGGAAACAGCGAUCGAGCAAGGAACGCGACUCGCAUGAAUGGAGCCAGCGGACACACGAGGGUGGAAAGGAGGUAGUGAGCGAGAGAAUGGGUGAAACAGAGAGGGUAGCAAAGAAGAGGAAGGAGGUCAAGAGUGGAACGAAGAGAAACUGGUGAAUGAACGAGGGAGCCGGAUUCACUAACCUGCUAGUCCACGCAGUCCGGAAACCGAGGAGCAACUGAGAGAGAUAUUAUGCUGCUACUACUGCGUAGGAAUAAUGCAACUCUUUGAUUGCAAUGACUGAACGGAUCUAUUGAAUGCCAUGAAUCGAUGUUUGAUAUUACAUACAAGAAGAUAAGAGAAUUUUUCGUUACAUUAUGUUGACUGUGCUGAUUGAAUAUCGAAGGGAAAAUGUCAUUGACGUAGGUUUCAACAGAAAAUGAACGUACAAUUAUAUUUAGCUUAGUAGCUAUUUUUUAUCAUGCAAACUCGAGGAUGGCUCAAGCUUACGGCUAAGUUCCGGUCCGCCUGCGCAACAAGUUUCUCCCUGGGACUUAAAAUCGUUGUAGCCCGCAUCCUCAGCCUAAAUGAGAAAUAGUUGCGCCGUUGAAGAACCUGCUUUAUCAAAAAUCAAUGUCCAAUUUGUGUCUGAUUUUAUGAAAACAAAAUAAGUGUGUAUAUUCGUUGGAAACUUGAUUGGCUGACUACCUACAGGAUCAAUCUACUCGCCUCCUCCUUUAGGCAGUGGGUGAGUGUCGCUAGCAACGUACGGGCAGGGCCUGGCUGUUUGCGCUCGCUCCAGCUACAGCCUCCGCCAUUCUGUUGCUACAGGGCACACUUAGAGGCUCUGGCAUCAGCUACCAUGCCACCGCCUCAUUGGACCGUUGUUGGGUCUGAUUAGCUUGAGCGGCCAGCGCAGGGGAUUCUAUUCUGGCAACAACGACUUGGCCAGCCCAGAUGGCGUACAGCGUAGCGUAGAACUGAUAUCCAGUAUGUAGGAGGUAAAGUAGACCCCGAUUUGGCCCGGACUGGCCCUUCACGGAAUUGACGUAUAGAGGCACGCGUCGCAGCCAGCGCAGACAAUGCAAACCAGUGCACCACCGAACAAACAGGCGGCGGGCACCCCCAAUUUGCUUUGCAUUACCCGGCGUGGGCCUGCGCGCAAUGUGCCUCUGCAAUACAAACAAAGAUCCAACCGCGUUAGGUACAUGUUUACCUCAUUAUCUUCCUGUAUGUUCAAUAUGAAUUUUGCAUUACUAUUGAUUUUUUUCUUUGAUUUUUGGUCUUUAGCUGAAUUCUGAUAAUCAUAGAGAGUCGAAUUUAUGAAAGAAAGAAUGCAUUUACUAGUACAUUGUCUUUAUACAAUUUCGGCAAGCGCGUUUUUAUUUCAAUUGCAAUAUCAGAAUGUGAAAAUCUCAAUGAUUACAGUUGGCAUACAAUGCUGUAUUAGGAUUCUACGAAACCAUUCAACUAUUUAAUUGAAAAAGAAAGAAAAGAAAUUAAUACCCAAGGUUUUCAUUUCAACUUACAAUUAGUUUCUUUUUACAACUUUGAAAUUGAUUUGAAUUCUUCUGAAAUAUACAAAGUGCUUUUAUACCUUCAUAAAUGAAUAGCUUGCCGACCAUAUUUAAUAUGAGUUUAAAUUCAUUUUAUUUUCAUGUAUUAUUGAAAAAUUAUUACCUUCAGCAAAGUGAGGAAGCAAAUAAACACAAAUAUUAGAAAUGUUGCUUGAACCACAUUAUGUACUUAGAAUAUUAAAAUUGAUAUUUGAGGUUUAGUAAUGAUUUUUAAAAAAAUAUCAGAGACAUGACAAUAUUAAGAUUAUAAAUAAAGUGGUACAUAAAGUGAUUCAAGCAUAGAUCAAUGAAACCUUGUUCUGAUUAUUCUAAUAUAAAAAUCUUUUAAAAACAUUAGUACCAAUAAUAUGAAAAACACAAAUAAUAUAAUGCAUAUAGUUGUCUACUUUUUUCAACAUAUGUUGUGUCAGAACAAGGUAUCUUGUAAUGCAGUACUUAUUAAGCUCAAAUAAGACUGGUAGAAAUGUGUUUUAGAGCAAUUCAUUCUCCAUACGAAAGGAAAAUGAUCAAUGAUGUUUGAUCUUAUUAUUUUAUCGAAUCAUAAUAAUAAUC